UCGGGUCCGCCCGUCAGUCAGUGUGGGUCGUUUCUGGGUCGCGCUUGCCUCGCGUCGGUCGAGGCAAAAUAUCUUCUCCGCGCGAAACCCUACCUCACCCAAUCGCGCACCCAGCUCCUCCCCAAUCCCCUCCCGUUCUUCUCAUGGCGCGUCUGGCGGCGCUGCUCCGCCUCCCUGGCUGCCCACCCUUCUCCUUCUCCCACUCCCCAUCUCCAACCCCCAGCCCCCGCGCUGCUCUGCCUCCCUCGCCGGCCGCCGGCCAGCAGGAGUAGCGCACCGCCGGCGCAAGCAGGAGGGGCUGCUGGAGCUCCGCCCUUGAUGGUGAUGGCGGACUCGAGCUCACGCCGGCGACCUCCACAGGAGCAGCGCGGGCGACCUCCACAGCGGCAGCGCGGGCGACCUCCCUAGCCGCGUUUCUGGAGGCAGAGGACGGCGCAGCUCCACCACCUCGCCCGCAGCGCAAGGACACCCGCUUCCUGCUCCUCUUGGCCAGCCCUGUCUCCUGCACAGCCUGACGCCUUCCCCACCAUGAGAAGACAGGGGAGAGGACUUCAUGGUCUGCAACGUCCAUCCAUGGCCCCUCUACAUGGAGCGGCAGCCAGCCAUGUCCAGCUUCCUCUGGCCCAAACCAUCUCUCCACGUCCAUGCCUUUGCUGAUUUGAGAUGUGUUUUUGCAUCUAUGCAUAUGAACUGUUUGAGGAAAUGUCUAAGCAGGCUGCAUAUAAAUUGUUUGAGGAAAUGUCUAAACAGGUUGCACGAACAAAAUAUCUACCUUUUUAGGGCUAUUUUGUCAUCUUUUCUUACAUAUGAUGGUCAAGCUGGUUAUGUUUCUUACCGUCAGAGUGAGAAUCUUAACCCUUACAAUGGUGGUGGUUGUUGUCUUGUACAACUUGCCACAAAUCAGUGAUUGCACAUGGUGCUCAAUACACAUACUCUAAUUUAAAUGUUUUGUUGUUGAUGCAUUGCAUUGCCGAGGUACUGAGAGCAGCUACCUUGACAUAGGGCAUGCUCCCGAGGAAGGGGUUGAGGAGGUCAGGGUGAGGGGCAGAGAGAGACUCCCCGAGUUUUAGCUUGUGGCUCUGGUGUACUGGACAAAUUAGGUUCAGUUUAGAGCCAUUGAUCUAUCAUAAAGCAUGAUGAUAAAGCGGAUAAGUGUUAUUUAUACCAUGGCAUCACAGGUUGCCGACUCUGACCUUGCCGCCCAUUAACAGCCAGGUGUUCGAGGGAAACUACCAGGUUGGAGGAUUCAAUGCGUGUUGGGUGCCCAUACAUAGUGCAGAUUUCUGCUGGAUUAAUUAUUCUCUUCCACAUUCUUGCUUCUGUUGGAUAGAGCAUUGGGCACUUGAUAUGUUGUGUAGACUUUUCUGCUGGGAGCAAAUUAUGCAUAUAAGAUAAUGACAUGGCUAUGACGAACACGGAAUGGUCAUCCGAUCAUUCCAGGUGUAAUUUUUUUAUGUAUGGUACGCUAAAAAGCACGGAUACGGCAGAAACUGACGAACUGCCGUCCUGAUACGGCGGGUUACGGCGGGAUACGUCCAAAUGGGGCAGUAUUCUCUUUUCUGAUCUCUUUCUCAUUAAUUUUCUGUCAUAACUUUAUAUUACAUGGCAUGUAUUUUUUAUUUUAUAUAUACUCGCCGUAUCCCCAAAUGGCUGUUUUUGAAAAAUGCCGUAUCCCGUAUCCCCAUCUUUCUGUCCCCGUGUCCGUGCUUUUUAGACGGUACGGGCUAUGGGAAUACUUCAAUCUUCAUGCCCUUGUAUUAUGUGAAUUGAUAUAGUUUGAUUACAGAGUAUCUUGCCAAAGCAUUACUACGAAUUGUGUAACUUCCUGACCAUAAGCAGCAGAUAACCUUGUUGUAUCAUGCAGCGACAUACUUCAUUUCACCUCGUUUGGAAACAAUAUUUUGUUUGGCGAGGUGCUCAAGACGCUGGAAAGUAUUUGUUUUAGCCAGCGGAGUCUCUGGUCAUAUAUCCCUCUGUUCCAUGAAAUUGACCCGAAGGACCUAUUGGAAAGCAUUGGAAAUUUGAGCAAGACCACCAUCAUGUGAUUGAAAGUGGAUUGGUUAGGAAGGAGGAGUGUGGCCGUGCUUGGUGAUUAAAGGCUACAACAACGAUGUGGCUGGCUGGUUGUUGACUACUCCCUGGUGCAGAAGAUCUCCAUGGUGUUGUUAGGCCGUGGAUGUGUCCUUCGGUAUGUCCUUGUUUCUUGUGCUCUGGUCCGUUCAUUUUCUGGCGAUGCUGAGCUACAAGAUGAGACUAACGUUAGUGGGAUAUGAGGUGCUUGGUCAGAAGUUCAUAAGGUGUCUUACAGAUCAGGUCUGUGAUGUUUCUUUCCCGGUCACAGUUGCUAGCCCCAGACCCAGCCAAUGAAGUUAGGCUGGCAUGCCAUCAUGAUCAAAACCUGAUGUAAAGUGUGCUCUGUUUUCUACAUUGCAACAUGAGAGCAUAUGAUUGACUUGAAUUUUCAACAUUAAGAAAAUAAGGCCUUCUGAACAGAUGCAGCCCAUGUAUCAGUCAGAUACAGAACCAAAACAAGAUAUAGAUCAGUAUAGAUAUGAAAAACUCUAUCGUCCUUAUAAGAUGGUAUCAUGCAUACAUAACAAGUUACGCCGGAGGGUAACCCACACUUGACGGGCUCGUGUGGCAAGGCCCUCCAUCCGUGCCUCACAUCAGACAAAGAGCAGAUCUGGACGAAAUCAAUCACACAGGAAAAGAUCCUGAGAUCGACAUGAAGCAAGGACACAAGAAGGCAUGAAGAUCAACUAGCAGCCGCAUGUGAUCAUGGCGGACCUAUUGUUCAACAUUGACGACAAGCCGCACCUGAAAUGAUGGUGAGGUAGAAGGUACCCCUCCAAGACAGCCUUGAAAGGGAACAUAAUGUACCCGAGGACACGAGAUGUGCAUACUGGUGCCCAAUGCAAUCUUUCUUUGCUAACUUAUCUCUCACAGGCAAUAAAUAUUUCAGAUAUGCUUAUGUUCUGUCCCUUCUCACCAAAGAUAAAAUUGUCUGACUUAAAAAAUAUAACCAAGAAACAAAUAACUGAUUCCCACGUUUGGGAGAUCCAAAAAUGUUCUAGCUUAUAUAAGAACAAAAUUUGUUGCUUCCAGUAACUAUAAGUAUGAGCUUCAGUAGUUAUGGAGAUUUUUAUGUCAA
Molecule: long non-coding RNA, 3151 nt
Organism: Lolium perenne
Lineage: Eukaryota; Viridiplantae; Streptophyta; Magnoliopsida; Poales; Poaceae
Source: RefSeq, a predicted model, not a curated record